Molecule: ribosomal RNA, 560 nt
Filed under: uncultured Pelagibacterales bacterium
Lineage: Bacteria; Pseudomonadati; Pseudomonadota; Alphaproteobacteria; Candidatus Pelagibacterales
Description: bacterial SSU rRNA
Rfam family: Bacterial small subunit ribosomal RNA
Source: RNAcentral
UACUUAGUGGCAGACGGGUGAGUAACAUGUGGGUAUCUACCCUUUGGCCUGGAAUAACACGAGGAAACUUGUGCUAAUACCGGAUAAGUCUUUACGGAGAAAGCUUUAUGCACCAUUGGAUGAGCCCGCACUUGAUUAGUUUGUUGGUAGGGUAAUGGCCUACCAAGACUAUGAUCAAUAGCUGAUUUGAGAGGAUGAUCAGCCACAUUGGGACUGAGACACGGCCCAAACUCCUACGGGAGGCAGCAGUGGGGAAUCUUGCACAAUGGAGGAAACUCUGAUGCAGCGAUGCCGCGUGAGUGAAGAAGGCCCUUGGGUUGUAAAGCUCUUUCGUCGGGGAAGAAAAUGACUGUACCCGAAUAAGAAGGUCCGGCUAACUUCGUGCCAGCAGCCGCGGUAAUACGAAGGGACCUAGCGUAGUUCGGAAUUACUGGGCUUAAAGAGUUCGUAGGUGGUUGAAAAAGUUGGUGGUGAAAUCCCAGAGCUUAACUCUGGAACUGCCAUCAAAACUUUUCAGCUAGAGUAUGAUAGAGGAAAGCAGAAUUUCUAGUGUAGAGGUG